RNAcentral lists this ribosomal RNA (254 nucleotides) under uncultured bacterium. Its description in RNAcentral is "partial 16S ribosomal RNA". It matches the Rfam family "Bacterial small subunit ribosomal RNA", at positions 524 to 776 of the family's 1533-position model. The record is from RNAcentral.
UACGUAGGGUGCGAGCGUUAAUCGGAAUUCCUGGGCAUAAAGCGUGCGCAGGCGGUCUGUUAAGACCGAUGUGAAAUCCCCGGGCUUAACCUGGGAACUGCAUUGGUGACUGGCAGGCUUUGAGUGUGGCAGAGGGAGGUAGAAUUCCACGUGUAGCAGUGAAAUGCGUAGAGAUGUGGAGGAAUACCGAUGGCGAAGGCAGCCUCCUGGGCCAACACUGACGCUCAUGCACGAAAGCGUGGGGAGCAAACAGG